RNAcentral lists this ribosomal RNA (605 nucleotides) under uncultured bacterium. Its description in RNAcentral is "bacterial SSU rRNA". It matches the Rfam family "Bacterial small subunit ribosomal RNA", at positions 331 to 929 of the family's 1533-position model. The record is from RNAcentral.
CCAGACUCCUACGGGAGGCAGCAGUGGGGAAUAUUGCGCAAUGGGGGCAACCCUGACGCAGCCAUGCCGCGUGAAUGAAGAAGGCCUUCGGGUUGUAAAGUUCUUUCGGUAGCGAGGAAGGCAUUUAGUUUAAUAGACUAGGUGAUUGACGUUAACUACAGAAGAAGCACCGGCUAACUCCGUGCCAGCAGCCGCGGUAAUACGGAGGGUGCGAGCGUUAAUCGGAAUAACUGGGCGUAAAGGGCACGCAGGCGGUGACUUAAGUGAGGUGUGAAAGCCCCGGGCUUAACCUGGGAAUUGCAUUUCAUACUGGGUCGCUAGAGUACUUUAGGGAGGGGUAGAAUUCCACGUGUAGCGGUGAAAUGCGUAGAGAUGUGGAGGAAUACCGAAGGCGAAGGCAGCCCCUUGGGAAUGUACUGACGCUCAUGUGCGAAAGCGUGGGGAGCAAACAGGAUUAGAUACCCUGGUAGUCCACGCUGUAAACGAUGUCGAUUUGGGGGUUGAACUUUGAGUUUGGCGCCCGUAGCUAACGUGAUAAAUCGACCGCCUGGGGAGUACGGCCGCAAGGUUAAAACUCAAAUGAAUUGACGGGGGCCCCGCACAAG